This 329-nucleotide unclassified non-coding RNA is filed under the name soil metagenome. RNAcentral's name for it is "partial contains 5.8S ribosomal RNA, internal transcribed spacer 2, and large subunit ribosomal RNA". The stretch from base 1 to 120 matches the Rfam family "5.8S ribosomal RNA", at positions 35 to 154 of the family's 154-position model. The record is from RNAcentral.
GAUGAAGAACGCAGUGAAAUGCGAUAAGUAAUGUGAAUUGCAGAAUUCAGUGAAUCAUCGAAUCUUUGAACGCACAUUGCGCCCCCUGGUAUUCCGGGGGGCAUGCCUGUCCGAGCGUCAUUACAACCCUCAAGCUCAGCUUGGUGUUGGGCCCCGCCGCCCCGGCGGGCCCUAAAGUCAGUGGCGGUGCCGUCCGGCUCCGAGCGUAGUAAUUCUUCUCGCUCUGGAGGUCCGGUCGUGUGCUCGCCAGCAACCCCAAAUUUUUUUCAGGUUGACCUCGGAUCAGGUAGGGAUACCCGCUGAACUUAAGCAUAUCAAUAAGCGGAGGA